GCCCGGAUGGUGGAAUCGGUAGACACAAGGGAUUUAAAAUCCNUCGGCGUUCGCGCUGUGCGGGUUCAAGUCCCGCUCCGGGUACCA
RNAcentral lists this transfer RNA (87 nucleotides) under Escherichia coli. Its description in RNAcentral is "tRNA-Leu". It matches the Rfam family "tRNA". Rfam says of the family: Transfer RNA (tRNA) molecules are approximately 80 nucleotides in length. Their secondary structure includes four short double-helical elements and three loops (D, anti-codon, and T loops). Lineage: Bacteria; Pseudomonadati; Pseudomonadota; Gammaproteobacteria; Enterobacterales; Enterobacteriaceae. The record is from RNAcentral.